RNAcentral lists this non-coding RNA (184 nucleotides) under Palpitomonas bilix. The record is from RNAcentral.
AGUCACACACUAUUGAGUGGAGGUGGAGGUGGAGGUGGUGGGGAGGAGGGUGACAUUCACCCAGUCGGGGUAGCGAUGGUGGAGGAGCCCCUCUCCAGUUUUCGCCGCGUAUUCGCUACACACACGAGUGCGAACAGCACGAAUGAAGGUGGAGAGGAGGUAGCGCACACACUCCGAUCAUACA